GAGGUUUUCAAUUCCAAGUUUUGCAUUAAUUUGUUAGAACCAAUUUCAAUGGCCAUUGAAAGGUGAGUUUAUCACCUGGAAUGACUUUGAGUUGCCAAUAUUUGGUAAGCUUUUGGCUUUAGACCAUUAGUUAUCUCUUACGAGCUAUUCAAAGGAAGUCUAAGGUGAAUAACCAUUGAUGAAAUUCACUACCAUCUAUUUUGCCAUUUUAAAGGAUUAAAACUUGAUUUGCUAAAUCCAUACCGGUU
RNAcentral lists this long non-coding RNA (248 nucleotides) under Vitis vinifera (wine grape). Its description in RNAcentral is "long non-coding RNA (VVIN_LNC004919)". The record is from RNAcentral. Lineage: Eukaryota; Viridiplantae; Streptophyta; Magnoliopsida; Vitales; Vitaceae.